GGAAUAAGAAGAGAAGACCAAAACCCUAUCUCUAGAGACAUCAACAUUUCAGGGCAAUAGGGAUCCACCAAGACAUUUUAAGCAGAGGGCUGAUAUGAUUAAAUUUACAUCUUGGACUGAUCACCCUGGCAACAGAGAGAGGCUGUUGCAUUAAUGCAAGGGUCGUUUUGGAUCCUUGGCACUGAAUGCACAGCCCUAUAUCUGGUAGGUGCUCAGUAAACACUGAAGAGGAGGAGGAGGGUGCAGUACCCAGAACUGCUUUCUUGUUUUCAGAAGUUGUUAAUCAUCAGGUCACAGAAGAAAUCUGCAAUGUGAAUUUCAUCAUGCAAAAUAGUUAAUGCCUUGCCAAGGCAUUCAUCCCAGGAGUGUAAAUGAGUAGGGAGGAGAGUCCGGGAAGACUGACUCUGGUUACCUCACCUGGGGAUAUGCAGCCUUGAAAACACUGACUCUUGCGCUCCUGGGGGGCCCUGAUUUGCAUCCAUUUACAGCAGGAAGAGAAGGGAAUUCAGCAGCAGGGUGAACUUGGAGGAAAGCUGUGGCCAAGGUUCAGGUGAGGACAUUGGCUGACUCCAGGCUGGCCCCUCUCCCAGCAGCCUAUGCUUCUUCUUUGUAGCAUACAUCCCCUUUACAACAAAUUCGUGUUUCCUGCACUUCUUUGUUCACUCUGUCUCCUCUACUAGAGCACUAGCUCCACCAAAAUCGGGAACCAAGCCUGUCUUCUUCACCCUGACACCUGAAGCACUUCCGUGCUCAAGAAAAUCCUGGUUGAGAAAUAAACAAACGAAUCAACCUUUUCAGGCAAAGAGGAAAGAGAUUCACCGACAGAAUCAGUCACGCUGUACAUGGGAAAACCCCUUUGCAAGUUGUAAGGAAAUUAUUGUAUUGAUACAUAAGAUUAUUCACUCUAUGGGUGAGCCCUGGUGGGAGUCUGGAUCCU
This is a long non-coding RNA of Zalophus californianus (California sea lion), 937 nucleotides long. RefSeq lists it as uncharacterized. Lineage: Eukaryota; Metazoa; Chordata; Mammalia; Carnivora; Otariidae. The record is from RefSeq and is a predicted model, not a curated record. The transcript has 3 exons.